UAUAAGUUGUGUUCCAGAACCUAAAAGUUAGUACUAAUUAGUGCUAAUUCUACUACAACGCGUUCCCGUACUCCAAAAACUAGCAAAACUUGCAGCUCUCUCGAGAAUAAAAUGGCGCUGAGUGGUGCACAUUUCUGCUUGUUUUAGCUACAUGAAUUUGGCCGAGCAGAAAUGUGCAAAUUGUAAAUUUGACAUUUAAUUGGCAGGGCUAACAAGGUUGAAAAAUGUAUUAAUACAUUUCAAUGUUCGCGCGUAACAACAAAUGUAAAGAAAAAAGAUUAACUUAAAAAAUAAAGAAUAACUAAUAUUUGUCGUGCAAAAAACAAAAAGAGAAAAUAUGGAGCAACUGAUGUAUUCACUUUUGGAUGAUUCCAGCAGUAAAGAGGAUUGGCUGAAUGCGGAAUCAGACGAAGAAAACGUAUUGGAAAACAGUGCAAAAUUAGUAAAAGGUUGGCUGUCUUCCUAACUUGUAGCAUUAAGUCUUCUUGCAGACUUAACAUUAAUUUAACCGGCGCCCCCAACCAUGUGAGCUUUUCCGGGUUGGGAUUUGAGAAAACUCCACCUCUAAAUACUCUUCAACGCAUUCUGAAAACAAAACUUUCUAAAUAAACACCAUUCAAAAAUAA
Molecule: long non-coding RNA, 626 nt
Organism: Musca domestica (house fly)
Lineage: Eukaryota; Metazoa; Arthropoda; Insecta; Diptera; Muscidae
Exons: 2
Source: RefSeq, a predicted model, not a curated record